UACGUAGGGUGCAAGCGUUGUCCGGAAUUAUUGGGCGUAAAGAGCUCGUAGGCGGUUCGUCGCGUCGGCUGUGAAAGUCCGGGGCUCAACUCCGGAUCUGCGGUGGGUACGGGCAGACUAGAGUGAUGUAGGGGAGACUGGAAUUCCUGGUGUAGCGGUGAAAUGCGCAGAUAUCAGGAGGAACACCGAUGGCGAAGGCAGGUCUCUGGGCAUUAACUGACGCUGAGGAGCGAAAGCAUGGGGGAGCGAACAGG
This 254-nucleotide ribosomal RNA is filed under the name uncultured bacterium. RNAcentral describes it as "partial 16S ribosomal RNA". It matches the Rfam family "Bacterial small subunit ribosomal RNA", at positions 524 to 776 of the family's 1533-position model. The record is from RNAcentral.